Molecule: ribosomal RNA, 253 nt
Filed under: uncultured bacterium
Lineage: Bacteria
Description: partial 16S ribosomal RNA
Rfam family: Bacterial small subunit ribosomal RNA
Source: RNAcentral
UACAGAGGGGGCGAGCGUUGUUCGGAAUUACUGGACGUAAAGGGCGCGUAGGCGGCCUUCUAAGUCGAACGUGAAAUCCCCGGGCUCAACCCGGGAACUGCGUCCGAUACUGGGAGGCUUGAAUCCGGGAGAGGGAUGUGGAAUUCCAGGUGUAGCGGUGAAAUGCGUAGAUAUCUGGAGGAACACCCGUGGCGAAGGCGGUUCUCUGGGACGGUACUGACGCUGAGACGCGAAAGCGUGGGGAGCGAACAGG